UUUUAUGGAGAGUUUGAUCCUGGCUCAGAGUGAACGCUGGCGGCGUGCCUAAUACAUGCAAGUCGAACGAUGAAGCUUCUAGCUUGCUAGAAUGCUGAUUAGUGGCGCACGGGUGAGUAACGCAUAGGUCAUGUGCCUCUUAGUUUGGGAUAGCCAUUGGAAACGAUGAUUAAUACCAGAUACUCCCUACGGGGGAAAGAUUUAUCGCUAAGAGAUCAGCCUAUGUCCUAUCAGCUUGUUGGUAAGGUAAUGGCUUACCAAGGCUAUGACGGGUAUCCGGCCUGAGAGGGUGAACGGACACACUGGAACUGAGACACGGUCCAGACUCCUACGGGAGGCAGCAGUAGGGAAUAUUGCUCAAUGGGGGAAACCCUGAAGCAGCAACGCCGCGUGGAGGAUGAAGGUUUUAGGAUUGUAAACUCCUUUUGUUAGAGAAGAUAAUGACGGUAUCUAACGAAUAAGCACCGGCUAACUCCGUGCCAGCAGCCGCGGUAAUACGGAGGGUGCAAGCGUUACUCGGAAUCACUGGGCGUAAAGAGCGCGUAGGCGGGAUAGUCAGUCAGGUGUGAAAUCCUAUGGCUUAACCAUAGAACUGCAUUUGAAACUACUAUUCUAGAGUGUGGGAGAGGUAGGUGGAAUUCUUGGUGUAGGGGUAAAAUCCGUAGAGAUCAAGAGGAAUACUCAUUGCGAAGGCGACCUGCUGGAACAUUACUGACGCUGAUUGCGCGAAAGCGUGGGGAGCAAACAGGAUUAGAUACCCUGGUAGUCCACGCCCUAAACGAUGGAUGCUAGUUGUUGGAGGGCUUAGUCUCUCCAGUAAUGCAGCUAACGCAUUAAGCAUCCCGCCUGGGGAGUACGGUCGCAAGAUUAAAACUCAAAGGAAUAGACGGGGACCCGCACAAGCGGUGGAGCAUGUGGUUUAAUUCGAAGAUACACGAAGAACCUUACCUAGGCUUGACAUUGAGAGAAUCCGCUAGAAAUAGUGGAGUGUCUAGCUUGCUAGACCUUGAAAACAGGUGCUGCACGGCUGUCGUCAGCUCGUGUCGUGAGAUGUUGGGUUAAGUCCCGCAACGAGCGCAACCCCCUUUCUUAGUUGCUAACAGGUCAUGCUGAGAACUCUAAGGAUACUGCCUCCGUAAGGAGGAGGAAGGUGGGGACGACGUCAAGUCAUCAUGGCCCUUACGCCUAGGGCUACACACGUGCUACAAUGGGGUGCACAAAGAGAAGCAAUACUGCGAAGUGGAGCCAAUCUUCAAAACGCCUCUCAGUUCGGAUUGUAGGCUGCAACUCGCCUGCAUGAAGCUGGAAUCGCUAGUAAUCGCAAAUCAGCCAUGUUGCGGUGAAUACGUUCCCGGGUCUUGUACUCACCGCCCGUCACACCAUGGGAGUUGUGUUUGCCUUAAGUCAGGAUGCUAAAUUAGCUACUGCCCACGGCACACACAGCGACUGGGGUGAAGUCGUAACAAGGUAACCGUAGGUGAACCUGCGGUUGGAUCACCUCCUUUCUAGA
This 1510-nucleotide ribosomal RNA is filed under the name Helicobacter pylori. RNAcentral's name for it is "bacterial SSU rRNA". It matches the Rfam family "Bacterial small subunit ribosomal RNA". Lineage: Bacteria; Pseudomonadati; Campylobacterota; Epsilonproteobacteria; Campylobacterales; Helicobacteraceae. The record is from RNAcentral.